RNAcentral lists this ribosomal RNA (540 nucleotides) under uncultured bacterium. Its description in RNAcentral is "bacterial SSU rRNA". It matches the Rfam family "Bacterial small subunit ribosomal RNA", at positions 355 to 911 of the family's 1533-position model. The record is from RNAcentral.
UGGGGAAUCUUGGACAAUGGGGGCAACCCUGAUCCAGCCAUGCCGCGUGAGUGAUGAAGGCCUUAGGGUCGUAAAGCUCUUUCGCCUGUGAAGAUAAUGACGGUAGCAGGUAAAGAAACCCCGGCUAACUCCGUGCCAGCAGCCGCGGUAAUACGGAGGGGGUUAGCGUUGUUCGGAAUUACUGGGCGUAAAGCGCACGUAGGCGGACCAGAAAGUUGGGGGUGAAAUCCCGGGGGCUCAACCCCGGAACUGCCUCCAAAACUAUUGGUCUAGAGUUCGAGAGAGGUGAGUGGAAUUCCAAGUGUAGAGGUGAAAUUCGUAGAUAUUUGGAGGAACACCAGUGGCGAAGGCGGCUCACUGGCUCGAUACUGACGCUGAGGUGCGAAAGUGUGGGGAGCAAACAGGAUUAGAUACCCUGGUAGUCCACACCGUAAAACGAUGAAUGCCAGUCGUCGGGUAGCAUGCUAUUCGGUGACACACCUAACGGAUUAAGCAUUCCGCCUGGGGAGUACGGUCGCAAGAUUAAAACUCAAAUGAAUU